UUUAAACUUGUCCGCACAAUUUACUUUAGACUCUUAACUUUACGGGCAAUUAUAUAUCUCCUUAACAACUUUCGAAUGAAUAAAUUUCAUCCCUAAUGCUGAUGGGGCAUAAUAAAAUAAAAUAAAAAACUGAAAGCGCGGAAUAAAUUUGUCUAGCUACUACAUUCAAGUUGAAUCAGGGUACGUAAGACAAUUGGAAUUCUUGAUUCCAACUUGUGUUUGUCUAGCUACAUACAAGUUGAAUCAGAGUAGGUAAGACGAUUGGAUGAUAGGCAUUGUUGACCAAUUCUUCAUUUGUCCCACUAAUUAUAUCUUAACCUGAGUUUGUUUCCCAGCUUCUUGUAAAAAUGAAGUAAUAUUUUGAGAUCUAAUUAUCAAAAACAAUGAUAGUUGGGACAAUUAUUGAACGUAAAAAUAGUUUCUGAAAAUUAUGGAUCAGUGAUCGAUACAACGAUUUUUGAAAUCCAAUUUAUAUCAACGAUACAACAAUAUAAUUCACUAUUAAUUUAUCAGUGGUACAACAACAAUACAAAGAGAAUUGUUGUAUCACUGAUACAACA
This 560-nucleotide long non-coding RNA is filed under the name Capsicum annuum. RNAcentral's name for it is "long non-coding RNA (CANN_LNC004339)". Lineage: Eukaryota; Viridiplantae; Streptophyta; Magnoliopsida; Solanales; Solanaceae. The record is from RNAcentral.